Molecule: ribosomal RNA, 440 nt
Filed under: uncultured bacterium
Lineage: Bacteria
Description: bacterial SSU rRNA
Rfam family: Bacterial small subunit ribosomal RNA
Source: RNAcentral
AACGCGAAGAACCUUACCUACCCUUGACAUGCUAGGAAGUCUGCAGAGAUGCGGAUGUGCCUUCGGGAACCUAGACACAGGUGCUGCAUGGCUGUCGUCAGCUCGUGUCGUGAGAUGUUGGGUUAAGUCCCGUAACGAGCGCAACCCUUAUCCUUAGUUACCAGCACGUAAUGGUGGGAACUCUAAGGAGACUGCCGGUGACAAACCGGAGGAAGGUGGGGAUGACGUCAAGUCCUCAUGGCCCUUAUGGGUAGGGCUACACACGUGUUACAAUGGUCGGUACAGAGGGUCGCCAACCCGCGAGGGGGAGCUAAUCCCGAAAAACCGAUCUCAGUCCGGAUUGAGGUCUGCAACUCGACCCCAUGAAGUUGGAAUCGCUAGUAAUCGCGGAUCAGAACGCCGCGGUGAAUACGUUCCCGGGCCUUGUACACACCGGCUAC